RNAcentral lists this long non-coding RNA (248 nucleotides) under Salvia miltiorrhiza (redroot sage). Its description in RNAcentral is "long non-coding RNA (SMIL_LNC001356)". The record is from RNAcentral. Lineage: Eukaryota; Viridiplantae; Streptophyta; Magnoliopsida; Lamiales; Lamiaceae.
GCUCUGGCGCAGAAAUCUCAUCUCGUCCUAUCCUUAUGUUUAUAUCUCAGUGCUUCUAGUCUCAUCAAAAGUGUAACUCAAAUGCUCAAUAUCUCUAUUUAUCAUCAUAACUCCAUCUCAUCUUAAUAAUAAUCUCAUAUCUCAGUACCGUAGUACUCUCUGCAGUGUCUCGACACUACUAUAACUCAUAAAGGUAUGGAUUCACUCGUGAUUCCAUUCUUCAGCUCUUCCUUAUCAGGCACGCUCAG